GUGAACUGUCAUUCCAAGAAGUCAAAUGAUAGGGUAACGCCUUGAAGGGCUUCCUUUAAUACUCCGACAUGCAGUGAAGUUAGCAAGAACUGAACUGUAUGAAGCUCGGUGAAGUCGGUUGAGAGUUACCGUAAUCCUAUAGGAUACGAAAGUCACUCAGAGGUGGGUGGUGUAACCUAUAAACCGGAAGUCUAUAAA
Molecule: non-coding RNA, 198 nt
Organism: Bacillus cereus AH187
Lineage: Bacteria; Bacillati; Bacillota; Bacilli; Caryophanales; Bacillaceae
Source: Rfam